This is a non-coding RNA of Erythranthe guttata (spotted monkey flower), 89 nucleotides long. The record is from Rfam. Lineage: Eukaryota; Viridiplantae; Streptophyta; Magnoliopsida; Lamiales; Phrymaceae.
AGGCAGUGAUGUCAUAAUUAUUGCCAUCAAACUUUGAAAGCCUUAUUAAUGGGGCUUGUUGAUGCAAACAAAACAUAAUUCCUGAGCCU